GAUGAACGCUGGCGGCGUGCCUAAUACAUGCAAGUCGAGCGAACGGACGAGACGCUUGCUUUUCUGAUGUUAGCGGCGGACGGGUGAGUAACACGUGGAUAACCUACCUAUAAGACUGGGAUAACUUCGGGAAACCGGAGCUAAUACCGGAUAAUAUUUUGAACCGCAUGGUUCAAAAGUGAAAGACGGUCUUGUUGUCACUUAUAGAUGGAUCCGCGCUGCAUUAGCUAGUUGGUAAGGUAACGGCUUACCAAGGCAACGAUGCAUAGCCGACCUGAGAGGGUGAUCGGCCACACUGGAACUGAGACACGGUCCAGACUCCUACGGGAGGCAGCAGUAGGGAAUCUUCCGCAAUGGGCGAAAGCCUGACGGAGCAACGCCGCGUGAGUGAUGAAGGUCUUCGGAUCGUAAAACUCUGUUAUUAGGGAAGAACAUAUGUGUAAGUAACUGUGCACAUCUUGACGGUACCUAAUCAGAAAGCCACGGCUAACUACGUG
RNAcentral lists this ribosomal RNA (497 nucleotides) under uncultured bacterium. RNAcentral's name for it is "partial 16S ribosomal RNA". It matches the Rfam family "Bacterial small subunit ribosomal RNA", at positions 28 to 507 of the family's 1533-position model. The record is from RNAcentral.